RNAcentral lists this ribosomal RNA (403 nucleotides) under uncultured bacterium. RNAcentral describes it as "partial 16S ribosomal RNA". It matches the Rfam family "Bacterial small subunit ribosomal RNA", at positions 29 to 526 of the family's 1533-position model. The record is from RNAcentral.
AUUGAACGCUGGCGGCAGGCCUAACACAUGCAAGUCGAGCGAGCGGCGGACGGGUGAGUAAUGUAUGGGGACUGCCCGAUAGAGGGGGAUAACUACUGGCAACGGUGGCUAAUACCGCAUACUAUCCGAUUACCCAUAUGGGAUUAGCUUGUUGGUGGGGUAAAGGCUCACCUAGGCGACGAUCUCUAGCUGGUCUGAGAGGAUGAGCAGCCACACUGGAACUGAGACAGAGGCCAGACGCCGACGGAGGCAGAAGUGGGGAAUAUUGGACAAUGGACGAAAGCCUGAUCGAGCCAGGCCGCGUGAAUGAAGAAGGUGUUAGGGUUGUAAAGUACUGUAGGCGGGGAAGCGGUACCAAAAGAGGAAGCAACGGCUAACUCCGUGCCAGCAGCCGCGGUAAUUC